This 518-nucleotide non-coding RNA is filed under the name Emiliania huxleyi. RNAcentral describes it as "Eukaryotic large subunit ribosomal RNA". It matches the Rfam family "Eukaryotic large subunit ribosomal RNA", at positions 2825 to 3401 of the family's 3401-position model. The record is from Rfam by way of RNAcentral. Lineage: Eukaryota; Haptophyta; Isochrysidales; Noelaerhabdaceae.
GAUAACUGGCUUGUGCCUGCCAAGCGUUCAUAGCGACGUAGCUUUUUGAUCCUUCGAUGUCGGCUCUUCCUAUCACUGCCUCGCAGCGGGGCCCAAAUGCAGGAUUGUUCACCCACCAACAGGGAACGUGAGCUGGGUUUAGACCGUCGUGAGACAGGUUAGUUUUACCCUACUGCUGUCUGUUUUUCUACGGUAAUUUGGUUCAGUACGAGAGGAACCACCAAUUCGCAUCAUCGGUAUAGCCGCCGCCGGAAACGGCGAUGCGGCGAAGCUGCCAUGCGCCGGAUUAUAACUGAACGCCUCUAAGUUAGAAUCCAUGCCGGAAGGAAAGCCACCUACCGGCCCGGGGACGCCACGAGCAACGGUAGCACUGCCUGAGCCGCGAGCGACCACAAUUCACGGACCCGGGCCGACGAAUCCCUUGCAGACGACUUGAAUAAGGAACGGGGUAUUGUACGCGGCAGAGUGGCCUUGUUGCCACGAUCCGCUGAGAUUCAGCCUUGGUUCUGACGAUUUGU